CGCGGCCUAUCAGCUUGUUGGUGGGGUAAUGGCCUACCAAGGCGACGACGGGUAGCCGGCCUGAGAGGGCGACCGGCCACACUGGGACUGAGACACGGCCCAGACUCCUACGGGAGGCAGCAGUGGGGAAUAUUGCACAAUGGGCGAAAGCCUGAUGCAGCGACGCCGCGUGAGGGAUGACGGCCUUCGGGUUGUAAACCUCUUUCAGCAGGGAAGAAGCGAAAGUGACGGUACCUGCAGAAGAAGCGCCGGCUAACUACGUGCCAGCAGCCGCGGUAAUACGUAGGGCGCAAGCGUUGUCUGGAAUUAUUGGGCGUAAAGAGCUCGUAGGCGGCUUGUCACGUCGGGUGUGAAAGCCCGGGGCUUAACCCCGGGUCUGCAUCCGAUACGGGCAGGCUAGAGUGUGGUAGGGGAGAUCGGAAUUCCUGGUGUAGCGGUGAAAUGCGCAGAUAUCAGGAGGAACACCGGUGGCGAAGGCGGAUCUCUGGGCCAUUACUGACGCUGAGGAGCGAAAGCGUGGGGAGCGAACAGGAUUAGAUACCCUGGUAGUCCACGCCGUAAACGUUGGGAACUAGGUGUUGGCGACAUUCCACGUCGUCGGUGCCGCAGCUAACGCAUUAAGUGCCCCGCCUGGGGAGUACGG
Molecule: ribosomal RNA, 643 nt
Filed under: uncultured Actinomycetes bacterium
Lineage: Bacteria; Bacillati; Actinomycetota; Actinomycetes
Description: bacterial SSU rRNA
Rfam family: Bacterial small subunit ribosomal RNA
Source: RNAcentral